CGGAUGCGGUAACGCAUUUCGUGCGGCGAGAAGUCAGCAGAGGUCGUAGUAGUGACCCUCGAUUCCCAAUCGAGACGCGAAGGAC
RNAcentral lists this non-coding RNA (85 nucleotides) under Allorhodopirellula solitaria. Lineage: Bacteria; Pseudomonadati; Planctomycetota; Planctomycetia; Pirellulales; Pirellulaceae. The record is from RNAcentral.